This 973-nucleotide unclassified non-coding RNA is filed under the name Hevea brasiliensis (rubber tree). Lineage: Eukaryota; Viridiplantae; Streptophyta; Magnoliopsida; Malpighiales; Euphorbiaceae. The record is from RNAcentral.
AGAAAUUUUUGAAGCAUCUGUAGAGAAUAUACUGGUUCAUAAUAAGCUUGCUUUGUGUCUUUCUUGGACGCAAAUAGUAAUAAGAAAAAAAGAACCCUCUCUCAUCUCAACCACUAUAAACUCAGCUCCUUUCAUACCUAAAUGUCAACAAAACCACAAAAUUUCCAAUGGGAAUCCCGCGGCUUAAAUGAAAAGAAUUUUACAAUCAAUAGCAGCCUUAACCUUUAUAUAAUUAUCGUCAUCGCUGCAGGCUUCCUCCUCGCCCUCUUCUUCUUCUUCACCGAAUGGAUCUACCACCGGUUCCUACACCGCCACUUGCCCUCCAAUACACUAUCCACAAGCACAUCUCCUCCUCAGCCUCAAGGCCUCCAACCCACCAGCAUCCAAGCUUUACCAACCAUAUUCUAUGAUUCAUCCACGAUUGCAGACUGGUGGUGCUGUAGUGGAAACUGAGUGCAGUCUAUGUCUUGCUGCAUAUGAAAAUGGUGAUAAACUUAAGGUAUUGCCUCAGUGCCUCCAUUAUUUCAAUGGCGAAUGUGUUGAUACGUGGCUUCACUCUUGGGCCGCUUGUCCUCUUUGCAGAGCUUCCCUCCUGGACAGCUCAGCUGCUGCGCCUACCUCAGACUAAAACUAGCAAGAAACUGGCUCUUGGGUUCUCAUCAAGACAAGCGCAGCUUCUUUCUUUCUAUAACAGCAGGAGCAAUUGUUUGAUGGUUGAUCACACAUGCACAGAAGCCAAUAAUAAGGAAGGAGCAAGCUUCUUGAUUGGGUUCUUGAAACAAUGGAAGGAGAACAAAGAUAAGCCUUUUGGCCCCCAGCAGUCUUCUCGGAUAUGUCUCCAGCUGCAUCUCUGUGCCCAUCACUCGAGUAUCUACCUGACUACCUCCUGCGUGCUACUACAUAUGGUAUUAGUGGAUUCUUUGGUUUCUUGAUCUUCUCAGAUAUCUCAAAGAUUUAUUUAUUUAUUUAUCUA